This 1893-nucleotide ribosomal RNA is filed under the name Dollfusiella tenuispinis. RNAcentral's name for it is "SSU rRNA". It matches the Rfam family "Eukaryotic small subunit ribosomal RNA", at positions 107 to 1752 of the family's 1831-position model. The record is from RNAcentral. Lineage: Eukaryota; Metazoa; Platyhelminthes; Cestoda; Trypanorhyncha; Eutetrarhynchidae.
CAGCUAUGGUUUAUUGGAUCCUACCCGUUAAAUGGAUAACUGUAAUAACUCUAGAGCUAAUACAUGCAACUAUGCCCUGACCCGCAAGGGAAUGGGUGCACUUAUUAGAUCAGAAGCCAUCCGAGCUUGCUCGUUUGUAUUCUGGUGACUCUGGAUAAUUGUUACAGAUCGCAUCGGCCUCGAGCCGGCGACGGGUCCUUCAAAUGUCUGCCCUAUCAACUUUCGAUGGUAGGUGACCUGCCUACCAUGGUGAUAACGGGUAACGGGGAAUCAGGGUUCGAUUCCGGAGAGGGAGCCUGAGAGACGGCUACCACUUCCAAGGGAGGCAGCAGGCGCGCAAAUUACCCACUCCCGGUACGGGGAGGUGGUGACGAAAAAUACCGAUGCGGGACUCAUAAACGAGGCUCCGUAAUCGGAAUGAGUGAACUCUAAAUCCUUUCACGAGGAUCAAUUGGAGGGCAAGUCUGGUGCCAGCAGCCGCGGUAACUCCAGCUCCAAUAGCGUAUAUUAAAGUUGCUGCAGUUAAAAAGCUCGUAGUUGGAUCUCGGUUGCACUGUGGCCUGCCAUUGCUCGGCGUUAGUUGGGCCUUGUGGCACUCCGUGUGUUCGCUUGGUCUGCUGCGCUGAGUUGGUACGGUAACGGUGUCGCCUUAUAGCCAUGUCUGUGGUGCAAUACCCGCAGGUGUAUGCGAGUGUCAGGCGGUGCGUUGCCUCCGGUAGCGUCCGUCGGCUCGUGUGCAUGCCUGCAGAUGCCCUUCAAAAGGUGUCUGUUGGCGGAUGGCACGUUUACUUUGAACAAAUUUGAGUGCUCAAACCAGGCCGAUGUUGCCUGAAAAGUUUUGCAUGGAAUAAUGGAAUAGGACUUCGGUUCUAUUUUGUUGGUUUUCGGAUCCGAAGUAAUGAUCAACAGAGACAGGCGGGGACGUUUGUAUGGCUGCGCUAGAGGUGAAAUUCAUGGACCGUAGCCAGACAGACUAAAGCGAAAGCAUUCGUCAAGCAUGUUUUCAUUGACCAUGAGCGAAAGUCAGAGGCUCGAAGACGAUCAGAUACCGUCCUAGUUCUGACCAUAAACGAUGCCAACUGACGAUCCGUGGUGGUAGUACUUUAACCUUCCCCACGGGCAGUCACCGGGAAACCUUUAAGUCUUUGGGUUCCGGGGGAAGUAUGGUUGCAAAGCUGAAACUUAAAGGAAUUGACGGAAGGGCACCACCAGGAGUGGAGCCUGCGGCUUAAUUUGACUCAACACGGGAAAACUCACCCGGGCCGGACACUAUGAGGAUUGACAGAUUGACAGCUCUUUCUUGAUUUGGUGGUUGGUGGUGCAUGGCCGUUCUUAGUUGGUGGAGCGAUUUGUCUGGUUAAUUCCGAUAACGAACGAGACUCUAGCCUGCUAAUUAGUGCGCCUGUCCACUGUAUCUGUGCAAGUGGCGUUUUGGCGAUGCUGCUCAUAUAAGCUGCUGUGGCUUGGCCUGGCUGUGUGUUCACUCGCGCGGUCGGGCUGGCUGUGGUGGUGUGGGUGGCGGGUCCGGCGUUUGCUUCCGGAUGCGGCGCAGGUGUUUACUUCUUAGAGGGACAAGCGGAACGAAAUCGCACGAAAUUGAGCAAUAACAGGUCUGUGAUGCCCUUAGAUGUCCGGGGCCGCACGCGCGCUACAAUGACGGUGCCAACGAGUCUGACCUCCUGGCCCGAAAGGGUUGGGCAAACUGGUCAAUCACCGUCAUGACAGGGAUCGGGGCUUGGAAUUAUUCCCCGUGAACGAGGAAUUCCUAGUAAGUGCAAGUCAUAAGCUUGCGCUGAUUACGUCCCUGCCCUUUGUACACACCGCCCGUCGCUACUACCGAUUGAAUGGUUUAGCAAGGUCAUUGGAUUGGCGCUAUUGCAGUGGGCUCCGAAA